Molecule: ribosomal RNA, 497 nt
Filed under: uncultured bacterium
Lineage: Bacteria
Description: partial 16S ribosomal RNA
Rfam family: Bacterial small subunit ribosomal RNA
Source: RNAcentral
GAUGAACGCUGGCGGCGUGCCUAAUACAUGCAAGUCGAGCGAACGGACGAGAAGCUUGCUUCUCUGAUGUUAUCCGCAGAGGGGUGAGUAACGCGGGGAUAACCCACCUAUAAGGCGGGGAUAACUUCGAGAAACCAGAUCUAAUACCGGAAGAGAAUAUGAAGCGCAUGGUUUAAAAGAAAAAUACAAUUUUGCUAUUACUUGUAGGUGGUGCCUCGCUUCAUUAGCUAGUUGGUAAGAUAACGUCUUACCAAGGCAACGAAGCAUAGCCGACUGGGGAGGGUGACCGCCACAACUGGAACUGAGACACGGUCAAGACUCCAACGGGAGGAAGAAGAAGGGAAUCUUCGCAAAUGAGCGAAGGCCUGACGGAGCAACGCGGCGUGGGUGAUGAAGGUCUUCGGAUCGUAAAACUCGGUUAAUAGGGAGGAACAUAUGUGUAAGUAAAUGUGCACAUCUUGACGGUACCUAAUCAGAAAGCCACGGCUAACUACGUG